UACGGAGGGUGCGAGCGUUGUCCGGAAUCACUGGGCGUAAAGGGCGCGUAGGUGGCCCGUUAAGUGGCUGGUGAAAUCCCGCGGCUCAACUGCGGGGCUGCCGGUCAUACUGGCGAGCUAGAGCACGGUAGGGGCAGAUGGAAUUCCCGGUGUAGCGGUGGAAUGCGUAGAUAUCUGGAGGAACACCGGUGGCGAAGGCGGCAUCCUGGACCGGUAUUGACGCUGAGGCGCGAAAGCCAGGGGAGCAAACGGG
Molecule: ribosomal RNA, 253 nt
Filed under: uncultured prokaryote
Description: partial 16S ribosomal RNA
Rfam family: Bacterial small subunit ribosomal RNA
Source: RNAcentral